CUGGAGGGGAGAGUGGCGAACGGGUGAGUACACGUAGGUGACCUGCCUCGAAGACGAGGAUAACCACUGGAAACGGUGGCUAAUACUCGAUGGUCUCGAUAAUUCGGCUUAUCGAGUAAAGGCUCUGGCGCUUUGAGAGGGACCUGCGGCCCAUCAGCUAGAUGGUAGGGUAACGGCCUACCAAGGCGAAGACGGGUAGGGGGUGUGAGAGCGUGACCCCCCACACUGGCUCUGGGACACGGGCCAGACUCCUACGGGAGGCAGCAGUGAGGAAUAUUGCGCAAUGAGCGAUAGCUAUACGCAGCACCGCCGCGUGUUUGAUGAAGGCCUUCGGGUCGUAAAACCCUUUUUCUGGGGAAGAAGUAAGGACGGCACCCCAGGAAUAAUCCUUCGGCUAACUAUGUGCCAGCAGCCGCGGUAAUACAUAGGAGGCAAGCGUUAUCCGGAUUUACUGGGCGUAAAGAGCGUGNAGGCGGCUUCGUAAGUUGGACGUGAAAGCUCCCGGCUUAACUGGGAGAGGCCGUUCAAUACUGCGGGGCUUGAGGGCAGCAGAGGGGGGUGGAAUNUCCGGUGUAGUGGUGAAAUGCGUAGAUAUCAGGAGGAACACCGAUGGCGAAGGCAGCUUCCUGGCCAUGUCCUGACGCUGAGGUGCGAAAGCUAGGGUAGCGAACGGGAUUAGAUACCCCGGUAGUCCUAGCCGUAAACGAUGGAUACUAGGUGUUAGAGGUAUCGACCCCUCUAGUGCCGAAGCAAACGCAUUAAGUAUCCCGCCUGGGGAGUACGGCCGCAAGGUUGAAACUCAAAGGAAUUGACGGGGGCCCGCACAAGCGGUGGAGCAUGUGGUUUAAUACGUCACUAACCGUAGAACCUCACCCAGGCUUGACAUCUGCUGAAAGCGCCUGAAAGGGUGGCCCCGGUAUUUUUAUAUCGCAGCAAGACAGGUGUUGCAUGGCUGUCGUCAGCUCGUGCCGUGAGAUGUUGGGUUAAGUCCCGCAACGAGCGCAACCCUCAUCCGAUGUUGCCAGCGUAAAGUCGGGAACUCUUCGGAAACUGCCCGUGCAAGCGGGAGGAAGGUGGGGAUGACGUCAAGUCAGCAUGGCCCUUACGCCUGGGGCUACACACAUGCUACAAUGGAUGUAAACAAUGGGCAGCAAGGCCGCGAGGUGGAGCAAAUCUCAAAAAUACAUCCUCAGUUCGGAUUGCAGUCUGCAACUCGACUGCAUGAAGUCGGAAUCGCUAGUAACCGCAGGUCAGCUAAACUGCGGUGAAUACGUUCCCGGGCC
Molecule: ribosomal RNA, 1283 nt
Filed under: uncultured Chloroflexota bacterium
Lineage: Bacteria; Bacillati; Chloroflexota
Description: bacterial SSU rRNA
Rfam family: Bacterial small subunit ribosomal RNA
Source: RNAcentral